This 515-nucleotide ribosomal RNA is filed under the name uncultured bacterium. Its description in RNAcentral is "bacterial SSU rRNA". It matches the Rfam family "Bacterial small subunit ribosomal RNA", at positions 996 to 1509 of the family's 1533-position model. The record is from RNAcentral.
CUUAGCAGAGAUGCUUUGGUGCCUUCGGGAACUCUGAGACAGGUGCUGCAUGGCUGUCGUCAGCUCGUGUUGUGAAAUGUUGGGUUAAGUCCCGCAACGAGCGCAACCCUUUAUCCUUUGUUGCCAGCGGCUCGGCCGGGAAACUCAAAGGAGACUGCCGGUGAUAAACCGGAGGAAGGUGGGGAUGACGUCAAGUCAUCAUGGCCCUUACGGCCAGGGCUACACACGUGCUACAAUGGCGCAUACAAAGAGAAGCGACCUCGCGAGAGCAAGCGGACCUCAUAAAGUGCGUCGUAGUCCGGAUUGGAGUCUGCAACUCGACUCCAUGAAGUCGGAAUCGCUAGUAAUCGUAGAUCAGAAUGCUACGGUGAAUACGUUCCCGGGCCUUGUACACACCGCCCGUCACACCAUGGGAGUGGGUUGCAAAAGAAGUAGGUAGCUUAACCUUCGGGAGGGCGCUUACCACUUUGUGAUUCAUGACUGGGGUGAAGUCGUAACAAGGUAGGCGUAGCGAG